ACCAGCCCAGAUGGACAGACUGGUAAGAGGUUGUAAUGAUGCUUCACAAGUAUCAUUAGUCAGGCAUCAAAAGUAGAGCCAGACUCUUUAAUAUAAGACUGAAUGUUUACUCCUGACUGACUUGGUUGGGAAAGACCAC
Herpailurus yagouaroundi (jaguarundi) is the source of this 139-nucleotide long non-coding RNA. RefSeq lists it as uncharacterized. NCBI's taxonomy places the organism in Eukaryota, Metazoa, Chordata, Mammalia, Carnivora, Felidae. The record is from RefSeq and is a predicted model, not a curated record. The transcript is spliced from 3 exons.